CCUACGGGGGGCUGCAGUGGGGAAUAUUGCACAAUGGGCGAAAGCCUGAUGCAGCAACGCCGCGUGAGCGAUGAAGGUCUUCGGGUCGUAAAGCUCUGUCCUAAGGGAAGAAUACUGACGGUACCUUAGGAGGAAGCCCCGGCUAACUACGUGCCAGCAGCCGCGGUAAUACGUAGGGGGCUAGCGUUAUCCGGACUUACUGGGCGUAAAAGGUGCGUAGGCGGCCCUUCAAGUCAGAGGUGAAAGGCUACGGCUCAACCGUAGUAAGCCUUUGAAACUGUAGGGCUUGAGAGUAGGAGAGGAGGGUGGAAUUGCCAGUGUAGCGGUCAAAAGCGUAGAUAUUGGGAGGAAUACCAGGUGCGAAGGCGGCUCUCGGGACUGUAACUGACGCUGAGGCACGAAAGUGUGGGGGGCGAACAGGAUUAGAUACCCUAGUAGUC
RNAcentral lists this ribosomal RNA (440 nucleotides) under uncultured bacterium. RNAcentral's name for it is "bacterial SSU rRNA". It matches the Rfam family "Bacterial small subunit ribosomal RNA", at positions 338 to 795 of the family's 1533-position model. The record is from RNAcentral.